RNAcentral lists this ribosomal RNA (294 nucleotides) under uncultured bacterium. RNAcentral describes it as "partial 16S ribosomal RNA". It matches the Rfam family "Bacterial small subunit ribosomal RNA", at positions 62 to 353 of the family's 1533-position model. The record is from RNAcentral.
UCGAACGAUGAAACCGCCCUCGGGCGGACAUGAAGUGGCGAACGGGUGAGUAACACGUGACCAACCUGCCCCCCUCUCCGGGACAACCUUGGGAAACCGAGGCUAAUACCGGAUACUCCCUCCCCUGCUCCUGCAGGGGUCGGGAAAGCCCAGGCGGAGGGGGAUGGGGUCGCGGCCCAAUAGGUAGUAGGCGGGGUAACGGCCCACCUAGCCCGCGAUGGGUAGCCGGGUUGAGAGACCGACCGGCCACAUUGGGACUGAGAUACGGCCCAGACUCCUACGGGAGGCAGCAUG